AACUUCUCUAGGCUUUAGGCCAUGACUUUGCACCAUCUUUGACAUCAGGGAUGAUGUAGAUCGUGCGGUUGAAAGGGUCACAGCAAGGGCUGUGUCUGCUAGAAGCUUUGGGCUGGUUUGGAUUACACUGGCAUGAGCUGAGAGGGAGGUGUAGCAAAGUCUGGGAUAAGUGGUUGUACCACAAGAUGUUCGGAUGAACUCGGUGCUGGCUUUAUCAGCAGCAGGCCUGGCUGCUGAGCUUAAGUUUAUGUAGGAAGUAAGGGAAAGAAAAAUGAGAAGAGCUGGAAGGAAAUGGCUAGAAAAAAAUGAGCCUUCCAUAUCUCUCCUAGUUACUUGCAGAGAAACUUGGAGGUUAGGGAUGAGACUAGGGAGUAGAAGGGUAGUCCUUUUAUAGACGAAUUGGAAAACUUCUAAUGUGGGUUAAGUUAACAUAAAAAUUAAAGGAGCCAACUCCACAGCAUGACCUAUAUUUCUCAUACACCAUUACUUGUUAUAGGUCCCACGAUAAUUCAACUGGUCCAGAGGUCACAAUAGAUGAGUUAAAUAUUAAUAGUAACAGCUGAAGUUCAUGGUUUCCCUUAAUCCAGAAUGUUAGGACUAAUACUUGACUCAUAAGUGGUCAAUCCGUACUUCUUUGUCCCUAACUAGCACGAUAUAUGGGGUUAUGUUAAUCGUUACCCUUCAGCAUGAUUUCAGUGAUCAAAUUCUGAGUUUAUAAGCCUAUCGUUCACCUUAACAUGGUCAAUCCCAAAAUGAAAGUUGACCCGUUCGGUGGAAAGCUCUCAUGGUUCCUGGUAUGAUUUUCCUUAGGUUAUAACUACAAGCGUCUAUAUAUAUAUAUACCUUCUAAAUAGUAAUUUCCUUAAAAUGGUUUCUAAGCUAUAAAAACUAGUUACUAAUUAAUCUCAGUUAGAUUGAAGUUGUUAGUAUACAUACAUCAAAAACAGUUGGUGAGGUCGACAAGAAAAGGAGGAUAUCAAUAUCUAGAAUUCUAUGAUUCUCAGCUUUCUUUUUCAGAGCAUACAGCCAUGGAACUAAGACCAACUUGGUGUCACCCACUGGCCCACUGCAUUGCUCAUAUCUCAAUCUGGCUUAUAACUGGCCUAAAUUUUUAGUUUAAAAAAAUCAAAUUAAAGGGUAUCCACGACCACAAAAAAAAAGAAAAAAAAAAGAAAAAAGAAAAAACCUAAGAGAAGAUAAUGGGUUGACGUGUAAGAGAUCCUUGGUAGAGGUAGACCACAAAGCAUGUAACAUUUCGAGAGGAAGCUGUUGGGUUGGGUAAAACUUUGCACAUGCUCAGAUUCCUUUGAGAUAAAGAGUAAUUUUUUUUUUUUGUUUUUAGAAAGUAAAAUAAUAUAUAAUACAAUUAAAUUUAAUAUUUAUUCUUUUAAAAGAAAUUGAACAUUAUUAUAUGUAAUAAUAGAAAUUAUAAAUAUUAUGAAAUUUUAAAUCGAGUUUGGGUUUGACUUGGAUUGCUCAAAUCCUUAGCUUAUUCCCAAACUGAAUUGAUUUUGAAUUCAAAAAGUCAAAUUUAAGUAUUUAAAAUAUUUGUUUGAACCCUCUCAAAUAUCGAAUUGGGUUUGGGAUAGGUCAAAUUAAGUGUACUCAUCCAAGUUGCACUCCCAAUCCUGAUUGCAUCAAUGGAGUAGUCUUUUGGUGCAUGUUCCUUUUGUCUUUGAGUUUUAAUCAAUAAACCAAAAGGAGAAGUAGCAUCCUGUCUUACAAAUUAGGAAUGAACUUGAUCAAUAUUCACUCAUCAGUUUCAACAUCAUUAGGAAAUUGUGUAGUCUACCUCUAGCAUAUGUUGUGUUAUACCAUUUAAUAAACCACCAAUGUGGUAGUAUUUGACACACAUAAAUUGAAAGAGGUCGUUAGAGUGUUAUGAAGCAAUAUCUAAUCAAUGCAUUGCUUCUAAAAGACUUACUUUUUUCUUUUUUUAAAUUGGUUAUCAACCUAUACAAUGGUAUGAUCAUUGAAGAGAACCACCAAAUGAUUUAUUAUUUAGACCAAUUGAUGCUCGAAAUAGAAAAAUAUGAUUAUUCUAUUACUACCACGUGUCAAAGAUAGAUUUUCUUAAUAAUUUUUUUAAUAUAUAUAUACUCUUCCCCAAUCAAUUUCCUCAUAUUUUAAUACUUAAUUCAAAGAAUUAACUAAGUGGGAUAUCUUCUAAACAACUAUUUGAUUUACAAAUUUAUUAGUGAAUUUUCUUUUCCUUUAUCCAUAAUUUUCCUCGUUUAGAAUUUUUCACAUAAAUUUGUAUAUUCUUAUUCUGUUUUUUAUUUUUAUUUUUAUUUUUUUAUUGCUUAUUCUCAUUAUUGUGUAACAAUAACUAAUAUAUAUAUAUAUAUAUACUCUUCCCCAAUCAAUUUCCUCAUAUUUUGAUACUUAAUUCAAAGAAUUAACUAAGUGGGAUAUCUUAUAAACAACUAUUUGUUUUACAAAUUUAUUAAUGAAUUUUCUCUUCCUUUGCCUAUGAUUUUCCCUAUUUAGGAUUUUUCAUAUAAAUUUGUAUAUUUUUAUUUUAUUUUAUUUAUUUAUUUAUUGCUUAUUCUCGUUAUUGUGUAACAAUAACUAAUAUUAUGUUAUAUAAACGGUAAAAUAGUAAUCAACAUAAAAAAAAACCUAAUAUUUUGAACUAAUAUUUUUAUUUUAGCUCUAAAAAUUUUUCUCUCCUAAAGGACCUAUAAAAGUUAAAUAAAUAAUAUUAUUUUUAAUAAAUAUUUCAUCUGUGGCAAUUAAUUUCUAACAAGUCAUUUUCCAUUACUUACAAUUCUUUUCCAAAAUUAUUGAAUUUGCUCCAUGAUAACUUAUUUCAUUUACAUAUAGAUAUCAUGAAGUAGAAGCAGAGUGUCGGCCAGCAAUUCUUUUGGAUUUUUUUCCUCCCAAUGGUGAGAAAAUGACAACCUCCUAAGAACCCUUUCCUUUGGGGAAGUGAUACUAAGUAAGCACUCUGAAAGGAACAUACACCACCCCUGCGAGUGACAUAUUGACAUAAUUGAUUUAUAUAGGCGAUGUGUCACUUUCUUUUGUUAAAUAAAUUAGGCCCCCCUCAACUAUAUUUCAUAAAAGAACUAGAAUGCCUAUUUGGCAAUGCUUAGAAAACGAUUAUAACAAAUUAUUUUUUUAAGAAUAUAUUUUAAAAAUAAUUUUUAAUUCUUUUCAAGAAUAAAAUUCUGUUUGAGAACAUAAAUAUAAAAAAUAGUUCUUUCAAUUUAUUCUCCAAAAAAAUAUUAUACAAAGAAUUUUUCACAUUUUCAUUUGUUUUUCAAAAUUUAAUAAAAUCAUUUUAUUAAGAGAAAUUAGAAAGAAACUAGUAACUUUCGGUGGAGAACGUGGAAGUUUAUAGAUUUAGUUUAGAUAACAUAUAGAGAAGGUGAAUAGGUGUUUCUUUUAUCCCAAAAAAUGAUUAUUUUUAAUCCUUUAACUAACUCCUUUUAGUUUAGGGAAGCUUAAAGAUAUUCAACACAAGAAACAUGAUUUUUUAUGUAGAAAACCAUCCAUAUGACGUUUGAAUGUAAAUAUCACAGAGUCAAAAACCUCUAAUUGCAAAUCCACUAAUCAAAAGUACAACACAAAUUUAUCUUGUAAAAGCUAUUUUUAAGUCUUACUCUUUAACACUUAUAUUGAACUUUACAUCUAUGAUGCAACACCAUAUGUGCUCCCAGUGGAUCUCACCUCAACGCAUGAGGGGAUGUAGAUUUCUUUUUUAAACAAGUAGAAGCAUAGACAAACUGUCUUUGAGAGUUUUAGGAAAAGGAAGACAAAUUAGGUUUUUUUUCCCAAAGUUGGCAUUAAAAAGGAAAUCCUUUUUUUAGGGAAGGUAUUUAUAAUGCAAAGAACCUUGUUGAUGGGAUCUAAAAUUUUCCCAAAAGUAAGACUUUUAAAAAUAAAGAAAACAAGAUUCCGGAAUUCUUGAGAAUUCUGCCAUGAGCCAUUGAGCACCUUUAAUGCACUUGAGUGUUCUGGGGAGGCUUAGGCGCUCUCCUUGACACUCGAGUACUAGAGUUCUUUUAAACCAGUUUUAAAAACCUACCAUUCAUACAAGGCUUUAAUUAACUCAAAUUUGCUUUUUGAGACCUUUUUAUAUUUACAUGCCAUUCUGAUUAAUCACGGAACAAUCUUAAGUUUUCAAUAGAGAGUAAGAUAUAAUCUAAAAAGGUCACAAAUAAGCUAAAAUGUUUGGAGCAAAAUUUCUAAUAUUAAAAACUACAUAAAUUAACAUACCAAUAAUCUCCCCGUUAGUAAUUUUGAGACAAAAUUUAUAAACCUCAAAUACUCUUAACACGCGCGGUUUACAAAUCUCUCAAUAACACUUGUCUAAAAUAAUCAUUCUCUAACAUGCAUAUGAUGAUCAAAAAGCAUCCAAGAGUGAACAAAUCAAAUUAACUUGUGACACACACUAAUAAACUAAAAUCCAAGGUAAAGCAGUGUGUGGGAAAAAACAUAAAAAAUAGUAUAGCUAUAAACAAUAUCAAAUAAUGGUGAGAACAAAUGGAUGCAAAUCAUGCGUGCAAUAUACAUCUAUCUAUCAACCAAAUAUUUAUCUCCCUAUUUAUCACAAGCAUGACAGAAAGGAGUAAUAUACAACAAUAAGCGCACAUAAGAGAGAGAUGGACAAUGAAGCAAAAUAAUAUCCAUAUAUAGUCAAAGGUUUUGGAUACAUAAGAUAAAGAAAGAAAUGUAUAUCAAACCAAAGUAAAAUACAAAAUAAAAUUAAGCCAAGCCGGUUGUAGUACUAAAAGGACCGACCCAAAAAAAAAAAAAAAAAACUGAAAAACAACUACUACUCAAGAUCAGAUGGAGGCAGUGGUAUAGAGCUAGAACCGCCCUAAGACAUCAUAAAAGAAGUGAUGGAUGUGAGCUACCCCUUUAUGUGAUAGAAACUUGCAUCCAUAUGCUCCUCGUAUUGGCGAUGAGUAGUGUUCAUAUGAUCCAACUGUAAGUGCAGCUAGUCCAUGGAUUCGAGAACCCGUUAGAUCCUAAAAACAUCAGUGAGGGUAGGAGUGUGGGACGAGAUGUAGAACAUGAGGGAUUCUCUCCUUAUGACUACUACGACCUUGAGGGGUAGGCACUGGGAACUCUUCGCCCUGCUCGAUAGCUCUAGCCUCCUACUCCUUUUGUACAAACUCAUCAGUAAUGAGGCUAGAGACGUGGCUCACGUGCUUGGACCAUAAGCUCUUUUCAAUGAGAGCACACAGGCUAAACAUGCCCAUCUACUAAUGAAUUUCAAAGCCGGUAUCCAUGAGAAUUUGAGAGAUGAUCAUUGUGAUAAGAAGGCUCCUAGGACGAGACGACUUACUGUAAAUAACUAUCAUGUAAAAAAUAACCCGGUUGAUAUCUAUAGGUUGCCCAAAUAGAAUGGCAUGGAUGAACUGAUUUGUCGAAUGGUGACUUUGUGUCCGAUGGAUCGAAGGAUAGAAAGAAUAAAUGAAAUAGGUGGUGAGGACCCAGACUGGCUUGGUGAAGUCAGCCACUAGAAGCUCACCAAACAAGGAAAUAGGGAUGGCUGCGAGCUCGGAGCUCGUAAAGAACUGUACCUCAAUAAAAAAGUGGGUUAAGGUCCCCUAAAGUGAUGACAUAUUGAGAGUGCGACAAAUAGAUUGAGGUGUGAUUAAUAGGGUAUAACCUUACAUGGUGACUCAGAAUGCGAGCCCUAACACUAUAGAGUGGAUGUUUGCAUAGAACAUCCUAACAUAAUGGGGAUAUGAAUUCCUAGGAAGUAACGUGAGAGGCUCCCAAUCUAUCUCAUGGAAAAUAUCAGGUAGAAUAAUAUCUUGAUCGAACCUCAAGGCUAUACCAUACUCGAUCUCGACCCUAUAGUUAGAGAAAUGAGUAUACGUAGUAGUGCUCAUGGGUGUCCUGAGAGUGGAAACAAUUGAUUGAAAGGUUAGUCAGGCUAAAGGGCCUCUAUAAAAGGAUCCCCAUAGUAGGCUUAGGGGAUGGAGGCAUAGGAGGUGCCCCCCGGGGAUGCCUACGACUAGGAAUAUUGAUCCUUGAGUGGAAUAUAAAAGGACAUGUAAACCUGGUAACUAUUUGGAAAGUAGUGGAAGUACUCAAGAAGUGGUUAGGAGCACUCCUACAGAGUUAGAAUGGGCAAAUAUGGACCUAAAAGUUGCUAGAAGACUAAACAACAUGAAGAGGCUAGAAGAAAUAAAGACAAAAUGAGUACGGGAAGGCUUAUAGCAAGAUGAAUCUCAAUAAUGGAAUACACUUGGGGGAGGAUGAAUAGGUGUUUUGACUAAUUAAACAAAAUCUCAACUCAAAUUAGCAAACCUUAAUAUUAAUUUUUUAUUCUCUUCACAUAUUCUCAAAAACACAAGCAUAUAUGAAAGCAACAACACCCCCAACAAUAUUAAAAUGCAAUUCACAUGCACAUGAUCCAACACUCUCAAACUCAAAUAAACUUAAACCAAAUUCAGAUAAACACAAGAUCAAUAUACCUCAAAAUGUCAAUGAUCAACAAUAAAAAACAGCUUCAAAGAUGAUUCAUAACCAUUUAUCUUCAUCAUUCAAUCAAAUAGUAGACAAUCAAAUCUACAAUAAAUUGUUGAAACUAAAAAUUGAUGCUAAGAAGAGAAAGAGAGACAAUGAGAACAUUGACACCAAAUUUUAACGUGGAAAACCUUUGAAAAGAUUAAAAACCAUGGGCCUGCAACUGAUCAAAAACAUCCACUAUAAAACAUAAAAAUUGAAUACAAAGUUUUACUUAGCUCAAGUCAACUAAUCCUUCUCGGACCACUUGACUAGUACUUUUCACUUUUAGCUUCUCAUCUUCUUCUUUUGGAGCACACUUGGAGUCUACACCAAGCUCUAUCUCAACCUCUUCUUGAAUCCACACAAGAAGAAAAUAUAUAGGUUUUUGCACAAAACCAAGAGAAUGAGAGAUGAAUGUGUUGAUUUUUGAAACAUCCAUUUAAAAAAAAUAAAAUUUCUUAGAAAACUUAUGGGAUUUUCUUAGGUGGUAAACAUCCUCAAAAUGGGAGGAAGGAAAAGCUCUUUCAUGGCUGCUACUCUCUCUACGUCCAGAAAUGGGAGAAAGUUUGAUUUUAAAUGAGAAUGAAGCCCUUAAUCCAAUGGCUGAAAAUUGACCUUAAAAACAGGUUAGUUGGAUCGAUCUGUCCAUACACUUGGAUUGAUCUAGAAAUAAGAGAACAAGAAAAUUAUCAAGCUCUAUGGGUGAUUAAGGCUUUUAUGAACUUUGUUUUAGCAGCCUAGAAGUUGAUUAAUGAUAUUCUAGGGAUAGUUGUCAAAUCUUAUAGAUCUAGAAUAUCAAAGACAUAGUAGGACCUUGAGAUAUUUAAGUAGAUGUAAAGGAAACAAGUUAACAAGAAAAUUAUCAAGCUCUAUGGGUGAUUAAGGAUGAACCUAGGACCCUAAAUAUUGAUCCAAUCUAAAGUAAUGAUCAUAAGGUCCAUACCAUAAAAUCUUAAUCAUUGAGCCAAAUGCUUAGAGAUUUUCUCAAAAACUCAAACCUAAUAGAAUUUGAAGGCUUGGUCAAAAUGUCAUCUAAUUGAUGUUUAGUGCGAACAUAGUCUAAGGAAUCUACCUUAUCUUCUACAUGCAAGAUCCCGAAUAAAAUGAUAUCUAAUCUCAAUGUGUUUAGUUUGAGAAUGAAGAACAUGAUUCUUAGAGAUGUUUAUAACACUCGAGUUAUCACACAUGAUGCUCAUGGUGUUUUGCUCCAUGCCGUUUUAUUGAGCAUUUGUUUCAUCCAAAGAAGUUGAGUACAACAACUUCCUAUGGCAAUAUAUUCUAGUUUUGUAGUGGAAAGAAACAUCAAGUUUUUCAUUUAACUAAGCCAACCAACUAUACAAUCGUAGGGAUAAAAAAACAAACACUUGAAAUACUUCUCUUAUCCUCUAUGUUUUUGAUCCAAUUAGCAUCAGAAUAUCCAAUGAUAACAAGUGAGAAGUCAAAGUGAUAUAACAAGCCAUAGUCCCAUUAACAUAUUAGAUUAUUUGUUUUAUUGAUUUUAAGUGAUACUCUUUUGGAUUAGCCUGGUACAAACUCACAAUAAGGAAUAGAAGACUUCCUACCAUGUUGUUAUAAAGUUUUUGCUCAACAUUUUCACCAUAUGUAUCUUUGCAAAGCUUUGUGGUUAUGCUCAUGGGUGCUUAGCCGACUUAAGUCUAAACUUUUUUACUAGAUUUGAGAUAGGAAGAUGUCACUCUCAAUUUGCUUUGAUAACCACCGAAAGUCCAAUAGAGAGCACCUAGAGAAAGAGAGAGAAGAGGGGAGAGGGGGGUGGGGGUGAUUUAAAAAAUAUUUAAAAUAUUAUGCCCAAUUCUUUUAACCCAAUAAAUUUUAGGGAUGUACUGGAUAUUCAAACUUACCAAAAAUUGAUUUUUACCUUUUAGAAAUAUCUUGUGAUUAGAUAAGGAUAAAAUAAUAUAAUUAUUAAUGUCCAAAUUAUCCUAAGAGAAGUUAGGGAAAACAAUAAUUUGUUAUAUUUAUAACCUCCAAGAUAACCAACCCAACAACCUCAAUAACAAACUAACCAAUCAAUCAAAAGGAUAUCAAUAUUAUCAAACAUAAUAUAAGCAAGAAAAUAAAGAUAUGCAAUGAGGCACAAGAUUUUUACAUGAAAAACCCCCACAAACUAUGAAGAUAAAAAACCACAAGGUCUAAUACCUAUUAAUCUAAAUUCACUAUUCAAAAUCAAGUUACACAAAUUUACUUGAUCGAUUUACUCUAAUAGCUUACCCUCCAAUACCUACAACUUGAUUCACGUCUGUGAUGCAAGAACUCUUUGUUGCUCCUUAGUAGAUCCUUCGGCCACUCUAAAGGGAUUAAGAUCUUCAACCCAAGAUUCAAAUAUCAAAUCCUUGAAUGAGAUUGGGAAUGAUGUGGCACUUUAGGCUUUCUCUCUAGGAGACCUAAAACAAUCUUGUCAAUGAAACCCUCUCAACUAAAGUGAGAUCUCUUAGACCAAAUUUCAUUUUGAUCUCUAACCCUCAAGGGGUUAUAAGGAAGGUAUUUAUAGGCAAAGUCUUAAAGAGUUUCGAUAUCUUCAGUUUCUAAAAUAGAGUUUGAGUGAAAUUCAUCCAAAAUCCAUUUCUAAAUUCGGUAGGACAAUCAUGAUUGCUUGAACGGACUUACAGUGCAUGAACGGGCCUUACCGCUUAAGUAGGCUGAUCAUUUGAGCAUGAUUAAUUGCUUGAGUAGCUCUUGCUUCUUUUGAAAAAUCAUUUUAAAACAUUUUAAGUCCAAGAAUGAUACCGAACCUAUUUAUACAUCAAAAGAGCCUUAUAUGCCACAUGCCAACCUCUUUAUUCAUACUUGUGACUUCACGGUUGGACGAACAACAACUUUUGAUUUUCAAUGGAGAGCAAGUCAUUAUCUAAGAAGACUUCUAUGACCAAACAUGAAAAUGAACAAAUUACCAACAUAUAAACAAGACUUAGGUAGUGUUUGUUUUUUUACUUAAUUCUAAAUAGAACCUUAAUGCUUAAUAGUGUUAAAAAUUAGGUUGUUUGUUUUUGUAGUAUUUUAUUUCUAUUAGGUAUUAAAAAGUAAAGAAAAUUUAAUAUGUUAUUUUUUCUAUUUAGAAAAAGCUACAUAUUUUGGCUUUUUCUAAUUAGUAAAAGUUUAUAAUAAGUCAUGAAAAAGUAUAAAAACAAACAAUCUAAAUUUUGAAAACAAAUUGUUUUCAGAAAAAAGCCAAAAAAACAAACACCACCUUAAUGUCUUAACAUUCCUAAUUUGUAGGCUUAGGAAAAAGUAAAGUUCACUUACCAUGCUCAUUUCAAACUCCUUUUUCAUCUCCUCAAUAAAACCAAUAUUUUAUUCAUUUAAAGUGGCUAUAUCAUCAACAUAAAUCUGUGCCACUAGGAGUUUGGAAUUAGUCCUAAGGAGAAAUAAGGUCAUAUCAGCUCUCCUUCUCUCAAAACCUUGUUUCAAGAGGUAAGUAGUUAGCCUAUUGUACUAAGCUAGAGCAUGAAUGGUAGACCAAUCAAAGAAAGCUAAAAUCCAAAUAUAAGUAUGUGUUUGAAAAACCUACUAAAUAAAUGAUUGCAUUUAAAGCCGUUAGAUUUAAUAUUUAGAGGCUAAACACUAACUACCGCUUUCUUUAUGGUUGAAAUAAGAUAUAGUUAUAAUAUGUUGCUAGGAGGAUAUAUAUUAGAUUCAUUCCAAUUAUUGCAUACCACUUUUUCUUCAUCAGUUGUUGAUCUUUCAAAAAAGAAAAACACAAUGGAAUUGGUAAAAGCAAAGAUUAAAUCUUUCUUGGCUUAUUUAAGAUGGUAGAAGUGAAAUACUAUAUAAAAAAAAAGUAUUCUCUAAUCAUGUUUAAAAAGACAAAAAAAAAAAAGAAAAAGGAACAAGUCUUUGUAUGGUCAAACUCUCUCUCUCUCUCUCUCUCUCUUUCUAUGACUUUGGUAGGAGAAUUUAGGGUAAUGUCUCCCAAUCAAUAAGGUUGGGGCAAGUUUCUGUAUUUUAUGAAUGAUGCAAGAAAAAUGAUUGGAUGAAAAUAGCCAAAGCUUCUAUUUGAAACAGAAAAGCAAAAAAAAUUAGGGAUUGAAUUGAAAAAGGUAGUCAACCUUCGCCAAACAUUGGAACAUUAAAGUCAAGGUAAUUAAAAGAAAUCCAUUUGGCUAAAGAACGAAAAGUUGAAAAGUUGAAAAGUUGAAAAGUUGUGCAAGUUCAAGAUCCCUUUGAUGAAAUAAAUUUGGAAAGAAAUUAGGAAGAUAUAAGGCCAACCUUUUUUUAGUAAUCUCAUCUUGAGAUGAUGUAGAGGAUGAUAUAAUUACUAAAAGAUUAAUAUAGCGAUUGUUUUGUUGGUAAUAUAGAAAAAAAUGCCUAGGUUAAGACGAGUAAAAGAAGGGUUUGAACUAGUCAAACAACCACCUAGAAGGAUGAUGUUAGAACAUAUAUUUAAGACAAAAGAAGAGAUUAAAAGAUCAUUGAAGGCGAGUUUUAUUAUUAGAAUACCCUAUUAUGUGGAAAUAUAAUUAUUUAUAUUGAUUUCUAAAACAUAACUAGGACAGUCUAAAAGUAUCCUAUUUCAAUGGUUGAUUUGCUUGUUGAUAAGUGUCUCUUAGCAUGAAAUGUUUCUAUUCAUAAAAGACCAUUUAGGAUAUAAUCAAAUUUUUCUAUAGAAGAAAAUAUCCAUAAAAAAAAUUUAGAUGUAUUGGAGCCAUAGAAACCUUUUAGUGGAUGGUUAUAUGUUUGGGUUAAAAAAAUUAAAAAAUCUUGUUGCAACAUACCAACCGGCCAUGAAUGUAAUUUAAUUGGAAAGAUAAUGAAAGUUUACAUUAACAAUGUGAUUGUGAACUCUAUUCAAAAUUUUGACAACUUAGAAAAAGUGUUUGAUAGGAUGAUGCUACACUGUGUAAAAAUGAAUCCUACCAAAUGUGUAUUAAGUAUAAGUGUGAGGAAUUUCCUUGGAUUUCUAGUUCACAACAAUGGAAUAAAGUUUGACUAUAAUAAAGGUAAGGCCAUACUUAAGGCUACUCUUGCUAAGAAUAAGGAGUUUCAAGGCUUCAUUAGCCAAAUCAAUUUCCUUGAAAGGUUUAUAGCAAAUUCUUCAGGAAAAAUCUAGGGAUUUUCAUCACUUUUGAAGUUAAUGGAUAAGGAUGAACUUGUAUGGAAGAACAUUCAUGAAAAAGCCUUCGAGCGACUGAAAAUCAAGCUAAGCCUCCUGUGUUUUGAUACCACUAGUGAUAUUGGAAAUAUGGAGAAGAUAGAGGAUAAGAUUACAAUAAAAUCUUAAGGGAUGUAGAAAUCACCACCCUUUGUGUCCACUGGAAACUUAGAACUCACCAUUCAAUGGAAUCCACCAAAGAAACAUAACUUUCUUUGAGAAAAGUACUCUCUAUUGAAUACCAAAUAUUUUUCCUUCAAGCAGCAAAAACUUUCUCCCUUAUAAUUCAAAAGACUUAUUACAGCUUACACUUGGAACAAUCCUCCAAGCAUAGGGUUCCAAAGUACCUAACUUACAUUCUUAAUACCAAAACUAAAUGAAUAUAUUCCAAGAAGUUCUCUAAUUGAAAAAUAAAUUACACCUUGAGGACUUAUAGAAGGAUUGAAAUUCCACAUGGGAAAUUGAGGAGAGUAAGAAAAUGAGGUAAAAUUAGGAAUUCCUAGGUGACUCCUUUACAAAAAAAAAAAAAAAUCAAUUAGAUCAACACCAACUUUGUUCUACAAGAUGUUUCAAAAUUUGGUUGCAACUUAGGAAAUUAAUGUGAGAAUCUAUAGCCCGAUAGACUCUGUUUCUUAGACCAUGUAGAAGGAUGCUGCUGUGUCAAGCUCCUCUGGGUGGAAAAGACUCAUCCUCGAAUCUAGAUUACUGUUACUAGCAUGAAAAGGAGAAAGAUUAGAAAGAUUGAAAGUAGGUGAAACUGCAUAAUUAUCAAGAAGCUCAAUUUUGUAUGCAUUUUCACCGAUUCGUAGGAGUAAUUUGAAUGGAUUAUCGACCUCUGGUUUGAUCUUAACAUACUUUCCAGGUGGAAAACGUUCUUUGCCAAGAUGAACCCAUACAAUCUCCUUCCUUAAACUCAACAUGUCUUUCAUGCUUGUUAGCCCUCCUCUUAUACUUCUCAUUUUGCCUGUGAAUCUUGUCCUAAACUUGUCUGAAGCUUUCUAAUGCUUUGUGCCCUUUCUUUAGUAUCCCCAUUGAAAUGGUGAGUAGUUGGAGGAGGAGCUGAAUCCAAAGGACUUAUAGGAUUUUUACCAUAAACUACUUUAAAAGGACUACAACCAGUAGUCUGAAUAGUAGACCGAUAGUAAAUGAAUUCAAUAUGAGCCAAAGCAAGAUCCCAUUUUUUGAACAUCCUUCCCUACAUAACAUCUUAAGAGAUUCCCCUUCAUCAGCAUAAGUAAUUUCGUCUUCUUUACUCGGAAUGGCAUAGUCAUUUUGAGAGUUUGUAUGACCUCCUCAUCACUAUCUUCUUCCACCAGGGUGACAAUUCUAUGAUUAGGAUAUUCUGAAGUAAUAUGUCCGUAUCCAUGACACUUAAACAUUAAUGAGAACUAGCUUUCGACGAGGUCUAUUGCUAGUUAAAACCAGCUCCACCAUCACUCUUCGAAGUUAUUUUAGAUGUGGGUUUCAAAGCUGGAUUGGCUUUGCAUUAGAGAUAUGUCCUCGGCUAGAAGUUUCAUCUUAACCCUUUACUUCCUUUUGUUGCUUUUCCACUUUAAGAGCAAGCUUGCACACAUCACCAUAAGUCUAGUAAAGCAGUAGUAUUUAAACAACAUUACCAAUUUUAUGCUUCAAACAUCCAAGGAAAUUAGCUCUGGUUUGUUCUUCAGGUUCAAUAAGAUCACAUUUCAUCAUGAAAUAGUUAAACUCUGCUAUAUAUUCUUCCACAGAUAACUCUUUCUAAUUGAAGUUGAUAAGCUUAAGGAAUACAUAUUGUCGAUAAAUGUCUGGCAAAUAUUUUCUCUUAAGUUCUUUUUUUCAUCUUUUCCCAAGUCGUAAUUCUUCCCCUUUCUUCACAAGCCCUCUGCUUAAUUUUUAAGAUUUUCCAACGAUAAAGAGGCAUACUUUUUCAACUUGAUAGCAAUAAGUUUCAUCCUAUGAAUUGAACCAUUGAAACUUCUUUAUAGUUAAACACUCGUUCCAUAGAGAGAAGUCAAUCAAUAAACUUAUCUGGCUCCCUUUUUGUCUUCAAAUUUUGGGAUAUGAACUUAAAAAAUCAAAGUCUCUUAGAACAUUGUAAUUCCUUUGUACACGAGGAGGGGAGACUUCUUUUGAAUGUUGGCUUGGAUCUCUGAAAUGGAUUGAUGUCUUCAUUUUUACUGCUAGGAGCCUCAUGCUUUGUAUUGUGAUGGGAUUCAUUGCACCCAAGAAUCUCAUAACAUUCUAAACGUUAUUGCAACUGUUGCACUUGUCCCCUUAAUUCUUCUACCUUAAUGCAACGAACAUAUCACGAGAAAGGCAUUUUUCUUCAAUAUAUAUUUUGUGCGCGACGAUGAUGACUAGCGGUGAGAACUUCUGACCUAUGCUCUGAAACCAAAUUAGUAUCAGAAAUUUGGAGAAAACAGAGGAUAAGAUUACAAUGAACUCUCAAGGGAUACAUAAAUCACUACCAUUUGAGUUCAGUGGAAACUUGAAACUCACCACUCAAUGGAAUCCACCAAAGAAAUACAAAUUUCUUUGAGAAAAGUACUCUCAAUUGAACAACAGAUACCAACUUUGUUCGAAAAGUUGUUUCAAAAUCUGGUUCUAAUUUGGCUGAAGCUUUGGAAAUUAAUGCGAGAGCCUUUAGCCCAUCGGACUUUGCUUCUUGGACGAUGUAGAAGGGCACUGCUGUGUCAACUAGACAGCAAUAUCUUUAGAUUUUCCUUUUGUUUUUUUCCUCCCAAGGAGCUCAAAAUAUCUGAGGCCGAGUAACCACUAUAAUCUACUCCUCCGAGGGACAGAUAUACUCAAAUGCUUAUUUGGCAAUGUUAGAAAGCAGUCAUAAAAAAUUAUUUUUUGUGGAAUAUUUUUAAAAUAUUUUUUAAUUAUUUAAAAAAAAAACAAAAUUCUAUUUGAGAAUGUAAAUAUGAAAAAAAUAGUUUUAAAAUUUAUUCAUAAUUAAAAUAUUGUACAUUUAAUUAUAACACAAAAGUUUAUAAAGUAUUCUUUUGUGUUAUAAUUAAAUGUACAAUAUUUUAAAACAAUUGUUCAAACCUUUCUGUUUUUUUCUCUUCUAUGCCUAGCACUCUCCCCGCCCACCCAUUAUGACAGAAUUUCCACAACCAAUUAAAAUUUUGUCUUUAAAUUUAAAAAAGGAGAAAUCAUUAAGCUUUGUUUCGGUCAUGGGAAUAAUAUAUAUAUAUAUAUAUAUUGAAAUAAAUCAUUUUCUUGUUAGAUUGUUAUAGAGAGAAACGAGAGAAAAACCAGUAACUUUAAAUGUAGAGUACUUUGGUUAGGGAUAACUAGCUUGUGUUCCUAGUGCAUGGUCCACUAAAGGCAUGGUCAUGUAGGGACAUAUAAAUACUUCUUUAAAAUGCAAUAAUUUAUAGAAGAAGUAUUAUCAAAUAUUUUAGAAUUAAUUUCAGUCAUCAAAAAUCAAUAGUUGAAUGCCUUAAAAGUAAAGCUAUUAUUUUAUUAUUUUAUUAUUUUUAUGGUGGUAUCAUAGCUACUGAAAUUUCCAAAGUUUCUGAUUUAAUUUGUUUCACCCAAGGGAUAAACUUGCUUGCCCAACCAUUUGUUGGGGGUUCGACUCCCUCAAGUGGCAGAGAAACAGGUCAUUUUUGAGCUUUGACCGCCAUAUAUGAGUUGGAAAUAUCUUACACGAUAUUUUAAUAACUGGUUUCACCUUGAUUUUGGUUUAGACCUUAGUAGGAUAUAGUGGGGCUCACAAUGAUGCCUUUCUAAACAUCCAACAUGUCUGACUGGUCAAGAAUGGCCAUACUGUGGAAGAAAAGUGGCUACGUCACUAGCUUUUGUUGUCCUACUUCACCUUAAUUAUUCAAUUGACAAUUAAUUGGAAGAUUCACUUAUAAGUGUCACAUCUUCUAUCGACUCUUGUGACUUUGUUUUCCUUUUUCAUGCUUCAAAUUUGAACACCAAGAUAAUCACCAAUUCUACUAUAAUAUAAAGCAAUUGACCCAUAAUACAACUGAUCCACACCUAGUAGCAUUCCACAUUUCUUGCAGCAAGGCAUAUAGGAUUAAUUAGAACCCCAGUUGAACCUUAGCCGCUUAGAAACACCUGAGUUGGCUAAUUGUGAAGGGAAGCAUAACUAUUGAUCAAACCCAAGGCGUUGCUAGUCAUAUGCGCCAUGUUAACUACACGAGCCCUCACGGUGGUUUUUAGAUUCCCAUUCAUGGCGUUUCCGGCGAACCCAUCAGUGCAUGUGUCCUCAUCCGUCAGGGCAGCACUAACCCAUGUUUGUAUGUCAUUCAUCAUGAGCCCAAAAUUGGAGCCUUUUAUUUGGGUCAUCUCCCCCAUUGCUUUUCGAAGCUGAUCUACUGAGUCGCUCAACUCUUCCACACAGUCGUGCAUGGCUGCAACUUCUCUAGGCUUUAGGCCAUGACUUUGCACCAUCUUUGACAUCAGGGAUGAUGUAGAUCGUGCGGUUGAAAGGGUCACAGCAAGGGCUGUGUCUGCUAGAAGCUUUGGGCUGGUUUGGAUUACACUGGCAUGAGCUGAGAGGGAGGUGUAGCAAAGUUUGGGAUAAGUGGUUGUACCACAAGAUGUUCGGAUGAACUCGGUGCUGGCUUUCUCUGCAGCAGGCCUGGCUGCUGAGCUUAAGUUUGCACAGGAAGUGAAGGAAAGAAAAAUGAUAAGAGCUGCAAGGAAAUGGCUAGAAAA
RNAcentral lists this long non-coding RNA (16243 nucleotides) under Vitis vinifera (wine grape). RNAcentral's name for it is "long non-coding RNA (VVIN_LNC005436)". Lineage: Eukaryota; Viridiplantae; Streptophyta; Magnoliopsida; Vitales; Vitaceae. The record is from RNAcentral.